AGUUUGAUCCUGGCUCAGGUUGAACGCUGGCGGAAUGCUUUACACAUGCAAGUCGAGCGGCAGCGCGGGGCAACCUGGCGGCGAGCGGCGAACGGGUGAGUAACAUAUCGGAACGUAUCCAUAAGUGGGGGACAACCUAGCGAAAGUUAGGCUAAUACCGCAUACGCAGGGAACUGGAAAGUGGGGGAUCGCAAGACCUCACGCUUUAGGAGCGGCCGAUAUCAGAUUAGCUUGUUGGUGAGGUAAAGGCUCACCAAGGCGACGAUCUGUAGCUGGUCUGAGAGGAUGAUCAGCCACACUGGGACUGAGACACGGCCCAGACUCCUACGGGAGGCAGCAGUGGGGAAUUUAUGGACAAUGGGGGCAACCCUGAUCCAGCCAUUCCGCGUGAGUGAAGAAGGCCUUCGGGUUGUAAAGCUCUUUUGUUCGGGACGAAACGGUUAAGGCUAAUAACCUUGACUAAUGACGGUACCGGAAGAAUAAGCACCGGCUAACUACGUGCCAGCAGCCGCGGUAAUACGUAGGGUGCGAGCGUUAAUCGGAAUGACUGGGCGUAAAGCGUGCGCAUGAGGUUUUAUAAGCCAGAUGUGAAAUCCCCGGGCUCAAUCUGGGAAUGGCAUUUGGGACUGUAAGACUAGAGUAUGGCAGAGGAGACUAGAAUAUCUGGUGUAGCAGUGAAAUGCGUAGAUAUCAGGAUGACUACCGAUGGCGAAGGCAGGUCUCUGGGUCAAUACUGACGCUCAUGCACGAANGCGUGCGGGAGCAAACANGAAUAGAAUACCCUGGGUAGUCAUUGGCGAAUUUCAGG
This 808-nucleotide ribosomal RNA is filed under the name uncultured bacterium. RNAcentral's name for it is "bacterial SSU rRNA". It matches the Rfam family "Bacterial small subunit ribosomal RNA", at positions 10 to 811 of the family's 1533-position model. The record is from RNAcentral.